Long non-coding RNA from Erpetoichthys calabaricus (reedfish), 2226 nucleotides. RefSeq lists it as uncharacterized. The transcript is spliced from 2 exons. NCBI's taxonomy places the organism in Eukaryota, Metazoa, Chordata, Cladistia, Polypteriformes, Polypteridae. The record is from RefSeq and is a predicted model, not a curated record.
UCGCCCUUCUUGGGGACAGAUUGGCACACCAACAAUUUAAGAACUGGAUGACAAAGCAUCAAUUAACGAAACAGCUUGUGACAACGCGGUGUGCUGCAGAUGUGUAGUGCAUUUCAGCCAAAUUCCGAUGCAUCAGCGUUUAGCAUAUUAAAGGCCACUUUAUACUUACAAAUCGAGCUGUUCUAUCCCCCCGCCCACACGCCCCCUCCCCAAAAAAAAACAGCUUUUCGGUGAAUAGGUUCCCAGAUUCUUUCACUUCUCUCCCCAGUGUGUGUUUAGCGCUGUACGCAGCAUCGCUCCGCUCUGAAGCCUCCCGGAUUGUCUAAACAAGCUGAGGCAGACUGGCAGGCGCCAGCCUCGUGACGUCACCCAUUCAUACACUCCCUGACGCCUGUCAGCCUGGCGCCGCGCGGGCGGUCUCCAUGGAGACCACAAACACUCCUCCAUUCACCUGCGCUGCGCGAAGCCUGAGAACAAACCGGCCGAGCGGAGCUCUCCGCCCCGCGCACCUGCGAGCUCUCCCUCGCAGCUUCAAACAGGAAAGUCAAAUAAAAGACGGGGUUGGAGGGGGGGGAGAGGUUGUGAAGGAGGGAGAGGGGAGAUGGCUUUUAUAAACAUUCUUCAGCGUACGGCUCCGGCGGCAAGUUUAUGUUCAAAUCUGCAAGGGUAACUCGAUGGUAGCCCCUUGUAACACUAUAAUAAUAAUAAUCAAAUCCUAAUAUUGCUAUUUAAAUCGUUACUCGCAACUGAAAAACAUAAUUUAUGCGUUCAACCUUUCAGUUUUGAGGAAAAUAUCUAUCUAUCUAUCUAUCUAUCUAUCUAUCUAUCUAUCUAUCUAUCUAUCUAUCUAUCUAUCUAUCUAUCUCUGAAGUGUGUAUUGCUAAGAAACAAUUCUACUACAUGUGCCUGGUUUCCCUUAACAUUUCCCAAACUUUAACAGUUGGCCUGAUCUAGCUGUCUGUUUUUGUAUUUAUUUCAUGUCCCAAAAUAACAAUAAUAAUGCACCUUUUAUUAAAGGUAAAACAAGUUGCUCAUAUAUGUAUGAGUUUAGCUGUUAUUUUGAUUCAUUUUAUAUUAUAAGUUAAUAUAUAGUGCAAAUAUGUCAAGUACAUUAGUAUGCAUUGUAUAUUUUGUAUAGGUUAUGUUUUAGUUUGUAUAUAAUUUAUAUAUGUAUUGGGUAUUUUGUUUUAUUUGCAUAUUUUCCUUUAUCACGUUUUAAAUAAUUUUAAAGUUUACUUGUAACCAGCAGGAAAAGGCACAGGACAUAAAUUCACCAGGGAUGGGACACCAGCCCAUCACAGGAGUCCUUACUGACACCCUCACACGGUGCAGUUGAUAAGGGUGUCCAUUUCCCAUACAUGUUCAUUUCUGAGAUGUAAGAGCAAAGUGACACCUCUCCACCAGCAGGGUUUUGCAUCCUGUUGUCCUAACAGCUACUCAUCUCCAGGUCAUGGCUCAGAAAGUUGAGGGCGCUGAGAGAACAAUGAGAGAUCAGAGCAAGGAUUGUGGGAGAAAUCCAGGCUGGUGCCAGUGUGUCUGGGAGUCUUCUUUGCUCUCUCAUCUAGCCUUUGUUCAGCUGCAAAAGCUAUCAGCACUUCCUACUGACAUCAACAAUAACUCCACAGAACUGGGCCCUUUUAAUCUUGUUUACAGCACAUCAAGGCGGAAAAAAAAGUGAAACAUAUUAGCUCCUGAUUUUAACGGACAGUGAAGAACUACCCCCUACGGGUCAGCCCUUUUACAAUGGUUAAUUAGAAAAGUUUAGAUUAUUCGUGGUGAGGUUUAAAUGAGCAAUUAACUGAUGUGUAAGAAAAUGAUCCUUGUGUUUCCCCAUCAGUGACCCUUCAUUCUCAUUUUAUUGCAACUGGAUGAAAUUAAAAUGAACAUUGCAAUGUUGGAAUAAUUCAAACCACACUGUGCCAGCUGUGAAUAUUUUAGCCUUAGAGACCAAUAAUGCAUAUUGCAGCCGUUACUGCCUCACAUUAUAGCAAGGGGGUGAAGGGAAAGCCAUAAUUGCUUCUGUUAUCUGCCUAGGGUUGUGAUGUUUAAGUGCAAUCUUAAGAGAUUUAAUGACAUGCUUCAUUGUGAAGAAAGCAAUUCUGUGUUGUACUUUUCAUUUUAAAAUCUUGUAAAUCAUUCUUAAAAAUGAUCAAAAUAUGUUGCUAGAAUGCUAUCCUUUUUCACAGCUCUUAUAAAUAAUUUGCUGCAUUAAAUGCUUGAACUGUU